ACGGAGGGUGCAAGCGUUGUCCGGAUUUAUUGGGUUUAAAGGGUGCGUAGGCGGAUUAUUAAGUCAGUGGUGAAAGUCUUCAGCUUAACUGAAGAAGUGCCAUUGAUACUGGUAGUCUUGAGUACAGUAGAGGUAGGCGGAAUUUAUGGUGUAGCGGUGAAAUGCAUAGAUACCAUAAAGAACACCGAUAGCGUAGGCAGCUUACUAUACUGUAACUGACGCUGAGGCACGAAAGCGUGGGGAGCGAACAGG
Molecule: ribosomal RNA, 252 nt
Filed under: uncultured bacterium
Lineage: Bacteria
Description: partial 16S ribosomal RNA
Rfam family: Bacterial small subunit ribosomal RNA
Source: RNAcentral